Molecule: transfer RNA, 25 nt
Filed under: Ptisana attenuata
Lineage: Eukaryota; Viridiplantae; Streptophyta; Polypodiopsida; Marattiales; Marattiaceae
Also listed under: 3 other names
Description: partial tRNA-Gly
Source: RNAcentral
GCGGGUAUAGUUUAGUGGUAAAACC